GGGACUAAUGCGAUGUCUUUAAGUAGUGGGUUGUCUUAUAUUCAGAGUCGACUUAUGUUUCAAUAUGAACGGGAAUGAAGUGUUACUCAAUUCUAUUAACGAAAUUUACCUCUGCUGCUUAGUUUCCAUAUUGUGCGUAGAAGCAACAGUGCGUGCACUUUCAGCUGCUCAGUUUAUCUUCAAUGCUGCUCUCAUUUUGUAGAGUUCAUCACUUGUGCAUGUGCAACACAUUGGCGGAGGCAAUACGAACUGCAUUUCUCAUUAGCUGGACAAGUCGGAAUGGCAAUGCAUCUUGGAGAACAAGACUCGAAUUGUGAAAGUCUGGUGGUUUCACAGAACUUUGUUUUAUGUCAAGAUGGGCUGACACCAUGUCACCUGAUGCUGUUACUCUCUGGAAAUGCCUAUUUUCUGCCUGCCCAGGAGGAGCUCCAAGCAAUAAUCACAGAUCAAAACGUCUGAUUGUGGUAUUCACCCAUUUCUAAUGUGCCAUCUUUAACAAAACUUUCUUGGCGAUUUUUGUAUGCUUUACCGCAUAACACGGAUGUAUUGCGGCGAAGCUGACUUUGGAAAAUUGGUUGCAAUGUGCAACACAUUGGACCCUUGUCCAUUUUUUUAAAAAUAAAAAUUGUGUGCGCAUUUGAUUUCUCUUUCAUUUUAGGGGCUUUUGUCCUUUCUAUGCUAGUUUACACUUUGGACACACAGCCACCGGGCGUGUGUUUCACUCUGGGGCAUGUUAGAAUCUGUACGUAAACCAUGGCAAAUAAAUCAGUCAUGUGUGUUGGCA
RNAcentral lists this long non-coding RNA (784 nucleotides) under Dermacentor andersoni. RNAcentral's name for it is "uncharacterized LOC126535575". The record is from RNAcentral. Lineage: Eukaryota; Metazoa; Arthropoda; Arachnida; Ixodida; Ixodidae.